Molecule: transfer RNA, 69 nt
Filed under: Sillago indica (Indian whiting)
Lineage: Eukaryota; Metazoa; Chordata; Actinopteri; Sillaginidae
Description: tRNA-Arg
Rfam family: tRNA
About the family: Transfer RNA (tRNA) molecules are approximately 80 nucleotides in length. Their secondary structure includes four short double-helical elements and three loops (D, anti-codon, and T loops).
Source: RNAcentral
AGGUCGUUAGUUUAAGUAAAACAUUUGAUUUCGGCUCAAAAACUUGUGGUUAAUGUCCGCAACAACCUA